UUUCCGUAGGUGAACCUGCGGAAGGAUCAUUCAUAAUAAGUGUUCUACUGCACUUUUUAAAAAUAGUACUCACCUUGUGUGCAAUUUUGUGUUUCUUUUCGGAGAAACACCUACACCAACCUAUAACCUUGAACCACUUUGUCUGAAAAACUAUUAUGAAUACUUAAUUCAAAAUACAACUUUCAACAACGGAUCUCUUGGCUCUC
This 206-nucleotide unclassified non-coding RNA is filed under the name plant metagenome. RNAcentral describes it as "partial contains small subunit ribosomal RNA, internal transcribed spacer 1, and 5.8S ribosomal RNA". The record is from RNAcentral.